ACCCUUUGUGACAUACCUAUAACUGUUGCUUCGGCGGGUAGGGUCUCCGCGACCCUCCCGGCCUCCCGCCUCCGGGCGGGUCGGCGCCCGCCGGAGGAUAACCAAACUCUGAUUUAACGACGUUUCUUCUGAGUGGUACAAGCAAAUAAUCAAAACUUUUAACAACGGAUCUCUUGGUUCUGGCAUCGAUGAAGAACGCAGCGAAAUGCGAUAAGUAAUGUGAAUUGCAGAAUUCAGUGAAUCAUCGAAUCUUUGAACGCACAUUGCGCCCGCCAGCAUUCUGGCGGGCAUGCCUGUUCGAGCGUCAUUUCAACCCUCAAGCUCUGCUUGGUGUUGGGGCCCUACAGCUGAUGUAGGCCCUCAAAGGUAGUGGCGGACCCUCCCGGAGCCUCCUUUGCGUAGUAACUUUACGUCUCGCACUGGGAUCCGGAGGGACUCUUGCCGUAAAACCCCCCAAUUUUCCAAAGGUUGACCUCGGAUCAGGUAGGAAUACCCGCUGAACUUAAGCAUAU
RNAcentral lists this ribosomal RNA (512 nucleotides) under Colletotrichum sp. Nitaf05. Its description in RNAcentral is "eukaryotic LSU rRNA". The stretch from base 154 to 307 matches the Rfam family "5.8S ribosomal RNA". The record is from RNAcentral. Lineage: Eukaryota; Fungi; Ascomycota; Sordariomycetes; Glomerellales; Glomerellaceae.